UGGGGAUUCGUCUAAGGGUAGGACGGCUGACUCUGGAUCAGCUAGUGGUGGUUCGAAUCCAUCAUCCCCAGCCA
RNAcentral lists this transfer RNA (74 nucleotides) under Bacillota bacterium. RNAcentral's name for it is "Firmicutes bacterium (anaerobic digester metagenome) tRNA-Gln". It matches the Rfam family "tRNA". Rfam says of the family: Transfer RNA (tRNA) molecules are approximately 80 nucleotides in length. Their secondary structure includes four short double-helical elements and three loops (D, anti-codon, and T loops). Further hydrogen bonds mediate the characteristic L-shaped molecular structure. tRNAs have two regions of fundamental functional importance: the anti-codon, which is responsible for specific mRNA codon recognition, and the 3' end, to which the tRNAs corresponding amino acid is attached (by aminoacyl-tRNA synthetases). tRNAs cope with the degeneracy of the genetic code in two manners: having more than one tRNA (with a specific anti-codon) for a particular amino acid; and 'wobble' base-pairing, i.e. permitting non-standard base-pairing at the 3rd anti-codon position. The record is from RNAcentral. Lineage: Bacteria; Bacillati; Bacillota.